ACACAGGGCUCUUAUUAAUAAUCCCCCAGGGCUCAGCAUUCGCUCACAGGGGCUCCGGCACUCGGCUUCCCGGCCCCCCUUUUUGGAUGGCACUGCAACAGGCUGGCAAUCCAAGCCUUACCUGGGCAUUGUUUGAGGACUUCCUUGACCUCAGUGGGAAGGACACACCUAACGCAGACACCUAGAGCAGUCAGCACUGCUUUCACACUGACAUUGCUCCUCGCCACUCUGAGCUCACAGGUGAGUUAAUGUUGGCUUAAUUCUAGCAGAAGUAAGCAGAAAUUAUAGUUUGCUCCUCCUCCACAAGCAUAUUAAUGAUUCUCAGCAGUGCUGUGAAUCCCCCCAAGCACACAGCCUUUACCAGGUUCUGAAUUUCUAAACAAAGGCUUAUUCUCCUGAGUGUUUACGGGCAUUAAGUAAACAUUACAGUUUUUAGUUAAGUGCAAAGACAUUUAAAACCAUCUCAAUUACUCAGCUUUCAUUUAUGCAGCACCAUGACCUCCCCAUCCCAGGAGGCUGGAGGAACAAGGCUGAGUUACUAAAUAAAAAGAUGUACCUUUGCAAGAAAACAGAAAUGAAGCAAUGACUCCACUACCUUUUCACAGAAUCAUGGAAUAGAAUCACAGAACCAUUAAGAUCAGAAAGAGCACUAAAAUCACCGAGUCCAACCAUCAACCUAUGCCUGUCACUGCUGUGAUCCAGGAAGUGCCCACCUCCAGUGGGUAAGGAGUUGACUGCAUGAAUUCCCUCCUCAAAGACCUCCCAGAAGGUUCACCAACCAACAAGAACAAGAGGAGGCACCAGACACCCUCUGCACUUGACAAAGCAUUGCUGGAAUCUCACUGCUUCAUCCAUUUGCUGGCAGGGCACAGCUUUCCUUGUCAGGUUUCCGCUUGACCCGAGACACUAACGAGAUGCUGGCAGGUAAUCAUUUAUAACUGCAUUUGCUCUCUAAAGAUGUGAAGUUGUUUGCUUUCCCCAGUCCAACUCUUACUGCAGACUACGGCAAAGCUGCUAAAAAGGCUCGAAUUAGGCUCUGUACUAUUUAGUGUCUGUAAGCACAGGCAACCCAGUGCGGGAAGACUUGCAAAUUUAAAGCAUUAAACAAAAAUAUCUCAAGAAACCCAGCAGAAGCUAAGGAGCAAUUAAUUAAUUUGUAUACAUCAAGUUUUCUCCUCCUAUUUCAGAAGAUCUUCUAAGCAUUGGGAGCCAGGCGGGCAGAAGAGGACAGUGACUCUCACUUUACUGCAAUAAAGACACAAGGCAGUGCAUGGUUACUUAUUACACUUCCUUUUGCUCGGCGCUGGAUUGAGCCACAGACCUGGAGCCGUGGGCAGAUCCCAGCGCUCACUGCUGACGAUGCACAAAGAUAAGUCAGGAGUUCCUCCUGGAGGAAGAGAAGCAUCCAUCCACGCCUUGGGCUACAGGCAGCGCCGGUAACAAAUCGCUUGACUAGUUUAUCUUCCUUAUGCCAGUAUCACAAUUCUCUCAAACUAUUUUUCUGCUGCUGAGUCCCAGCGUGGUCCCGGGUCACUCACUGGAAGUCAAACCGAGCACUGCUGUAAUAGAGCACAGCCUGGGGAUCGUUCGCAUCCAAGCGUGGCACUGCUGAACCUCGCCUGAUUAAUUGUGAAAGCGGGAUCUCUACGCAAAUCGUUUUAAAGGAGGAUUUGAUUAAGCUUAAAAGGUGUCUUCUAGGAAUAUUUGUGCCAGCGAGACUUGAUCACACAGGGAGAGAAGAUGCAACAAAGGGAAAUUAGCUUGAAGGAGAACAUCCAGUUAACUGCUUUUCUUUCUCAGCUACAUUAAUAACAGAGCGAUAAAAGAACAUUCCGAAAUCCAAACAAAUUUCACAGCACAGUAUACUGAUCGGAGGCACAAAGUCACCCGGGCAUCAGAAAAGCUGUCCCUCAAGUUGUAUUGGAAAGGCCAAAGAUAAUGGGAAAUUCAUACAGAUAACACUUUUAUCGUUAGUGAAUUUGGGCAGUCCUGAUUGGAGGUGGCUCUUCAAGAGAAGUGGGACACAUGGGCCAAAAGAAUAGAAAUGGCUUCAGUGAGGCUUUUCCCCCACAGCACAGGUAUAUUUCCGGAGCUGAUGUACAGCCCCAAGUCACAGGAUGCCAGCGCUGUUAAAAUUUGGGACCCUCCCGAGGACAUCCUUGUCUAGAAACUGCAGGAGCUCACAGUGCUGGCCCACACUUCCCACUCUGCCUUGUGGCAGGAAGCAGAUUUAACCCUCCCUCAUGAGGAAUAGCACAGGACAGGAGGACAACCACAGAAUCGCUAAGGUUGGAAAUGCCCCCUAUGAUCACCUAGUCCAACACAUCCACCCACCACCAAUACUGCCCACCAACCACACCGCUCAGUGCCACAGCUCCCCAGUUCUGGACUGUGGGACGCUGACUCUCCCACCUCCCUGGGCAGCCUGUGCCAAUGCCUCACCACUCGGGGUCAAGGAGGGACCCUCUCUACAGGAAAGCAGGACAAGAAAUUCAGCUAUCAGCGCUGGAGACGGACAAGCCUAUGGGAUGUGCCAGGCUUCACUUUGGGGAAACUCAACACUUAGUAAAUGUUGAAAACAAAAUAAAUUCCUCCAAACCAACCCUUCCUCAAAUGAAUUCUUUCAUCUUAUGUGAAGACAAACAGAAAAACCCCUCCAGCUGGAGGCACAACGCAGAGCGCUGCCAUGCACAGGUCCCUCACAUCACCACCCCCUCCUGGGAGCGUGGCCGUGCCCAUCGCCCACAGCUGAGGCAGAGCCCCAGGUGGGAAAUGAGCCCUUUCAGGAUGUAAUGCAUUAGAUCAGUUUUCAACAUAUAAUUUAAGAUUAAAUUAAUUACAGCCUAGAAAAAGCUUAUUUCUCUCUAAGGGAUUCCAAACAACGAGCUCGGCAGCAAUAACCAUGCCUGCUGAUGAGAGAUGGACUAGUCUGGCACAAGCCUUUCUCUGCCAAACCCAGCGUGCCCACUCUUCUAUUUUAUUAAUCCACCUCAGCCUCCUUUCAAUCAGGAGAAUUCCAAGCCUUGCAUGCACAAGGUAAUAAAGACGACUGCAGCUGCCUGGGCCUCCUAUUCAUGUUUUCCUUUCGGCUAUCAGCUCACUUUUGUCAGACACACAGUAUCAUCUUCCACUGUAAAAGCAUAUUCAGGUCCUGCUAAGCCAUACAGCUCCACAUGGUAGGUCUGAGAAGGUAUGCAUCUGCUCUCCCAAAGCGUGCAGAUGGACAGAAGUUUCUCCCAUUUCUUAUAAGUCCCUUUUACUUCCAUUAUCUCACAUGCUGCCUUCCAAACUACCUUAGAGAAAACUACAGCAAAACGGCCAUCCAAAAUGAGAGCAGGUCUUCGCCUCUCCCUCAACUCAGCUCUGGUUGAACACUACCAUCAGCCAGAUGACAUUUGUCAGCUUUCUUCUCACUCCCAUUUCUUGAUCUUCCCAGUGCUGAGCAAUUCUGUAAGUCGCUGCUCUUUGUUGCCAUUUUCUAGGCUGGGUGUGCAAACUUCCAUGCAAACUUUCCCCAUUUCAGUAAGGGAAACUUCCAGGUGAUUUCUCCAUUUUUGGUAAAGUUCUGACCUGCAUGUCACUGCCCUCAAGAUUUUCCCUUCUUGAUGACUUCAGCAAUGAGUCCCCUUCAUAUUUUUGUAGUAAUUCCCUCCCCCAUCCUCCAGCAAAAGCAAACAAUUCCCCUACAAAUGUCAGCAGCCUUUUUUGUUUGGUUUUUAAAAACACACACCUUGUUUACCAUUUACUAAAAGCAACAUCAGAAAUGACAUUUCUUACUGUUUCAUGGACAACGCAGCAGCCAAGCCAGAGCAUGGUCUAGAAAGGAACAAGACAAUAGGUUUGAUCCUCAGUUUUCUCUCCAAGAGGACACUAUCUUACAGACUCUUUAUGGAACAAAACAACCCACGCUUGUUUGGAAGCACAUGCUUGGGGAACACAGGUUUGCUUUACCUUUGCUUCAGGCAAUUCCCCAAGUAAGCGUCUGGGCACAGUCAGCUCUGGCUCUCCCAACAUGUGCCAACUGCUCCUCUUGGUUUUGCUUGGGGCUGGGGAAAGCGUGUGGGCAGGAGGAGGAGGAGGUUUGUUUUCAAGGUUAAGGGCUGAAGGAUCCAUGUCAAAGAACCCCAUGAAGCGGCAGUUACCACCUCACAGGGCUGAGACAGCGCUCUCCACCGCCAGGAGACUUGCAGAGACGCUCUUCAGUAGAACACACUCAACUCUUAAGUCUGCCUGUGCUUCCACCACACCAGGCCAGUCACCAUCCCCACCCUCCUCUCUAUUUCAUACAUAAAGAUGUGACUAAUUGCUGACCCCAUACAUUACCGGCAUUGGAAACCCACAGCUAAGGACGGGGCAAGCCCCCGGGGGGUCCCCACAGCCAAACUCUGAGAGGUAGGUGAUGGGUUUCAGAACGGCGUUUCGCAUCAGUCACAUUUUACUACGUGUUUUAUUACAUCAAUGGCUUGAAAAAAUUUUUAUUUGAUGUCAGCAAACAUUGGAAAUCAUAGAAAAAUGAAUUAUGUAGAAUUUCACAAAGGAAUUUACCCCACUAUAAUUCCUCGUACAGUAAAAUAAUUCAAAACCAAAUGUUACUUUUCAGUGGCUAAGCAAUUUUAUAAUGCUAUGAACAUUCAUCACAGUAAGUGUGCUGAAUAAUAGAAAACAGGCAAAAAAGACAUUUAAAAUAUUACUUACAACAGCAUUAUUACAACAUACUUUCUUUAAAAUCCCGACGAGUAUUUUAUCACUUCAAAAGCUAUACAGCAUUUCCAUUAUAUUUGCAAACUUAACCUUAUACAUCUUUUAAAAUCUUGAAAAAACUUUUAAGCAAUCUAUAAGCAGUUAACAAAAUUGAUAAAAUCUACAUAAUGGAAUACUAUACACUCCAGUAUAAAUUUUAUUUUAGGAGAAUAUGAAUGUAAACACUCAUUAUUAUACAACAUGCAUAGACUAUACUGACCUUCCAUCUUCUGAACUGUAACUUUCACUGCAAUUGUGCUUUACUAUCAACAGGAAAAGCUGCAUUAAUCCAGGGAGUGGCAGAAAGUAUUUGCUUUAGGGGCAUUGCACAAGAUCGCUAGAUUUUGACUUGCUGAAGACAAGCUGGAGCUAAUAACAUUUUUUUUUUUCCUCUUUUCUUUUUCUUUUCUUUUUUUUUUUUUAAGAGUAGUAUGAGGCCAUUCGCCGUCCAAUGGGGAAUGCACAAUUUUGUACAGGUUGGAGAAAGAACGCAAUUAUCAGAGAAGUCUCUCAGGACGUUUCUUGCGCUUCGCUGGCUCGGGGAUGGAUGUUCACAAACCCAGUGUUGGAGUUAGUGUAAUGCACUGCUUGGCUCAUAUUUGGUGUGCAAGAAUACCGACAGCAUUUCAGCAAUUUAGAGAAUAAAAACUGAAAUUUAAAGUGACAGUGAGCAUAUUUUAUUACGUUACGUUUCAGAUGCCUUUGUACAGGAAA
Molecule: long non-coding RNA, 5454 nt
Organism: Gallus gallus (chicken)
Lineage: Eukaryota; Metazoa; Chordata; Aves; Galliformes; Phasianidae
Exons: 2
Source: RefSeq, a predicted model, not a curated record